UUUCCCCGGGACUGGCUGCGGAGGGACCUGAGCGUGAUCGGCUUCGGCCUCAUCGGGUGGAUCGGCCCGUCCAGCGUCCCCGUCAUCAACGGCAACAGCCUCACGGGCCUCUUCUUCUCCAGCAUCGGCGAGGAGCUCGCCCACUUCCCCACGCCCCCGCCAGUCACCUCCCAGUUCUGGUCAGGCUCAAGACCUCGCGCUCACGCUCUGCCUGGCCACUGUUUCUGACUUUCUGUACGGCAGCAGCAGCAUUUGAUGGGGCUUGUAACUGACAGACUCACACACGAAAUUGUUGCAGGCUGUGGAUGGUGACAUGGCACCUGGGCCUGUUCAUCGUGCUCACCUUCGGCCAGAUCGGCUUCAAGGGCAGGACCGAGGACUACUUCGAGAAGUGAAGCGGCUGAGCUCCAUCUGCUGAAGCGGCGUGCGUGCCGCAUCGAACCUUGCUUUGUAUAGGGCUCUGAUCUGGCUGAAUUCAUGUGUGGUGCUGCUUUUGUGAUGAGCUCAAUGUAAAUGAGUAAAUCUACCGUCCCCCUGCUGC
RNAcentral lists this long non-coding RNA (541 nucleotides) under Setaria viridis. RNAcentral's name for it is "long non-coding RNA (SVIR_LNC008297)". The record is from RNAcentral. Lineage: Eukaryota; Viridiplantae; Streptophyta; Magnoliopsida; Poales; Poaceae.